This 292-nucleotide ribosomal RNA is filed under the name uncultured bacterium. RNAcentral describes it as "partial 16S ribosomal RNA". RNAcentral also lists the same sequence under 2 other names. The record is from RNAcentral.
GGACUACACGGGUAUCUAAUCCCGUUCGCUCCCCUAGCUUUCGUGCCUCAGCGUUAGGAAAGACCCAGUGAGCCGCUUUCGCCACUGGUGUUCCUGAUGAUAUCAACGCAUUUCACCGCUCCACCAUCAGUUCCGCUCACCUCUGUCUCCCUCGAGCACGGCGGUUUGGGACGCUAUUCCCCGGUUGAGCCGGGGGAUUUCACAUCCCACCCUCCGCGCGGCCUACGCACCCUUUAAGCCCAGUGAUUCCGAGUAACGUUCGGACGGUUCGUAUUACCGCGGCGGCUGGCAC